RNAcentral lists this microRNA (22 nucleotides) under Homo sapiens (human). RNAcentral's name for it is "hsa-miR-8073". The record is from miRBase by way of RNAcentral. Lineage: Eukaryota; Metazoa; Chordata; Mammalia; Primates; Hominidae.
ACCUGGCAGCAGGGAGCGUCGU